GGCCUUGUAGCUUAAUUAGAGCGGCGGUUUUGUAAUCCGCAGGUACUGGGUAGUUAAGGUCU
This 62-nucleotide transfer RNA is filed under the name Gari elongata. Its description in RNAcentral is "tRNA-Thr". It matches the Rfam family "tRNA". Rfam says of the family: Transfer RNA (tRNA) molecules are approximately 80 nucleotides in length. Their secondary structure includes four short double-helical elements and three loops (D, anti-codon, and T loops). Further hydrogen bonds mediate the characteristic L-shaped molecular structure. tRNAs have two regions of fundamental functional importance: the anti-codon, which is responsible for specific mRNA codon recognition, and the 3' end, to which the tRNAs corresponding amino acid is attached (by aminoacyl-tRNA synthetases). tRNAs cope with the degeneracy of the genetic code in two manners: having more than one tRNA (with a specific anti-codon) for a particular amino acid; and 'wobble' base-pairing, i.e. permitting non-standard base-pairing at the 3rd anti-codon position. Lineage: Eukaryota; Metazoa; Mollusca; Bivalvia; Cardiida; Psammobiidae. The record is from RNAcentral.